Molecule: long non-coding RNA, 265 nt
Filed under: Lathyrus oleraceus (garden pea)
Lineage: Eukaryota; Viridiplantae; Streptophyta; Magnoliopsida; Fabales; Fabaceae
Description: Pisum sativum (pea) long non-coding RNA (PSAT_LNC014889)
Source: RNAcentral
AAAUGUCCAGCAAGAUGUCUAGUUUAAGCAUGUAAAGUUUGAUGAGCAUUGGAUAAGAAUUGAGCAUUUCACAAAUGAAGAAGCAAGGCAAGGUCAAAACAUGACAUGUCUACACAAACCCUAAGGCAAAAUUAAAUCCAGCCAGGCACAAUUUGCAAAAUAAUAUCCAUAAAAUUCUAGACACAAAAUGUGACAUAAUGAAAAAAACCACAUAUUUUUUGGAGCAAUUUUCCAUUUGUUAUGAAUUUUUAAAGUUAGAAAAAAA